Molecule: ribosomal RNA, 791 nt
Filed under: Cantharellus amethysteus
Lineage: Eukaryota; Fungi; Basidiomycota; Agaricomycetes; Cantharellales; Hydnaceae
Also listed under: 1 other name
Description: eukaryotic LSU rRNA
Rfam family: Eukaryotic large subunit ribosomal RNA
Source: RNAcentral
AGGGAAGAGCUCAUCAUUGGAAUCUGGCAGUGUUGCACUGUCCGAGUUGUAGAUGAGGAGUAGUCCUCUGGACUGCAUGGCGUCCAAGUACAAUAGGCCGUCAGUGGGACAUCAUAGAGGGUGACAAUCCCGUCCUUGAUGCCAAUGUGCAAGUCCGUUACGAUGGCUAUCUCAGAGAGUCGAGCAGUUUGGGAUUUGCUGCUUAAACAUGGGAGGUAGAUUCCUUCUAAAGCUAAAUACAGGCGAGAGACCGAUAGAGAACAAGUACCGCAAGGGAAAGAUGAAAUAGCACUCUGUGAAGGGAGUCAAAAGGCGUGAAAUUGUUGCGAGAGAAGCGAUUCAAGUCAGCGUAGCUAGGCCCAUCAAGCGUCUCGCUUUGGACUAGCUUUGCCAGCGGUCUUGUCCUUUAGAGAGACUUGACUUGUUAACGAUGUCCAGCCUGGUAUGCACAGGUAGCCCCCCGGGGUCAGUGGCAUGGCUGGUGGAAUGGCUUGCAAUCGACCCGUCUUGAAACACGGACCAAGGAGUCUAACAUGUAUGCGAGUAUAAGGGUGGCAAACCCGUAUGCGCAAUGAACGUGAUUUUCGGUGAUUGAGAAUGGCCUGAUGACCAGACAAGCAAUACAUGUCCCUCGGACGGCCAUUGCCCAAGUUCCGUGGUAGAUCCCAUGAACAUGGAGUUGGAGCAUACAUGCUAGGACCCGAAAGAUGGUGAACUAUGCCUGGACAAAGCGAAGCCAAAGGAAACUCUGGUGGAGGCUUGUAGCGAUUCUGACGUGCAAAUCGAUCGUC